Gossypium raimondii (Peruvian cotton) is the source of this 145-nucleotide non-coding RNA. NCBI's taxonomy places the organism in Eukaryota, Viridiplantae, Streptophyta, Magnoliopsida, Malvales, Malvaceae. The record is from Rfam.
UGUUAAAAAUUUCAUUCACUUGUAUUAUUAAAAGUUGGUGUGGUUAUUGAAAUAACUCGAUAGUGAUAUGUGGCAUACUGUGUGUACAUCAUAUUGACGUAUAGGAAUCAAUUUUUAAUAGUAGAAAUGAAUAAAUUUUUUAAUA